Molecule: long non-coding RNA, 3456 nt
Organism: Equus asinus (donkey)
Lineage: Eukaryota; Metazoa; Chordata; Mammalia; Perissodactyla; Equidae
Source: Ensembl
UUCCCACUGGCUCAGUGAGCUGCUCAGUUCCUCUUAGCAAAAUCCUCGUGUACUUAACACAGAGAGAUUUCGUUCCUUGCAGCUAAGAACCCUGGUUAACACAGGAAGGAAAAUGAUGAAGACUCUGACCCCUGUCUCUCAGGAGCUUGGCACACAAAUGAUUUUAGUACAGUCCAUGUAAUGGAGGAAAGACAGGACAUUUUUGGAGCAUCUGCUGUGCUGGACAGGUUAGAUUCAGUGAUGAACACACAGGACUUCUCACUGCAAGGGACUCAAUCUGAUGGGAGGGAUGGAUACAGUGCCAGAAAUGUGUGCAGGGAGUGAAGGAAGCACCGAGGAGGAAGCCGACCCAGCCAGGAACUGCGUUGGGUGUGCCCUCCCAUGCCCAGCCUGCUCCCCUCAUUUGGUCUCAUCAUUGUUCCCUUUGUUGCGCUCCCUCAUUAUUCAGGAGGCAGGAGCUACCAGGCCUGAACAGAAUGGGGACAGUCCAGGAAGAGGAAACAUCCCACCAGGGAGGGGGAGCAUUUUCAAGUUUCUUGCCCUUCACUGGGUCUCCUCGAUGUGCCUCAGUGAUUUGAAUCAAUCCAGUUAUUCCCAUGCACCAAUAUUUUUCAUUCUCUACCAUUGGGAACCAGCUUUCUAUUCCUCUCAUAUUCUCUGGUCUUUUUGCCUCUCCAAAUGGCUUUUAACUAUACAAUUUUUGCCUACUCAACUCGGAUGACAGUUCAAACUAACAGUGAGCUGUUGAACCCUGAUGUAUUUCAGAGUGUGUUUAUCCUGGGCAUUAUCCUAAAGGCGGCGAUGCAUACAAAUUUUGCUGGGAAAAUGCAGCAGUACUGCCGACUGGUGGUGAGGGUAGCUUUGUAAGCGCACUUUUGUUUUCAGAUCUUCCAUGCCCCAAGGCAUUCCCAGGGCUGAGGAGUUUGGUAAAUUCUGGGGAAAGAGAGGAAUUUGAAAUGUAUGAGUUGGUAGCUCAUUUAGAGGAUGUUCGGCCACCUGCUCUCAGACCGCGGGGCCUUUCACAUCCAGUACAUGUACGGCGCAGGUGCCAGGAGAUUGAAAAUGAAAGUGAAUUGUCGAUUUUUCUAUCUUUUCAUUCAACUUCUUUUCAAAAGCUCUUCCUCUUUCAAAAAUCAUCCAAAUGCCUUUCCUUUAAAGUUAACACCACAAGGAAUUGAAGUCUCAUUUCCUGGAAAUCCAGGGCUGGACGGCAUCCAUCCUUCAAAUGAGCCCCUAGAGAGAAGACGUGGAGACGCGAACUCCCAACUCAGGUUUCCGGGGGAUGCGUAUUAGACCCCCGGCCUGGAAGCUGAGGUCACGGAUUACUUUCUCAUUGCCGUCAAGGUCUCAGACACAUACUCCAACUGACCCCUCUCCAAGCCCCGCAGCUUCUGAAAACACAUGGAUUUCAUGGUGAAGGAAAUAUCUCCACCUAAAGCCUUUCUAGGCACCCUUCCCCCCAAGGCGUUUUGCUAAUGUGUACCAGAAUGUUCUUGAAAGGAGAAAAAAGGAAAAAGAGAAAGAAAUGCUUUGUGAGGAGAAGGCUCUGCCUUCCAGCCCUUCUAACACAACUGCCUCCUAUUAAUCUGCGACCUAGUUAAGAGAACCGGAAAUAAUGUCUCGCAUGUGGAGCUUUCUGUGACCACAGCUGUCGUCCAUGUGAACACUCACUGUGUGCCGGGAUCUGUGCUACAUCCUUUUUAGGGAGACGCUCAUUUGCUCGGCACUACAACCCGACUGGGCGGGGAUCAUUUUUAUGAAUGUUACAGAGAUUGCAAAAGCUGAGGCUUAAAGACUUGAAGUCACUGGCCCAGAAUCACCAGCCAAUAAGUGGUGGAGCCAGAAUUUGAUCCUAAGUAGUCCGACUCCAGAGACCUCACUGAAUUAAAUUACACUGAUUUAAUUCAUGUGAAGUAUCUAGAAGACACGAAUUUUUACUUGUAUUUUACAGAUGAGAAAACUGGAGUUUAGAGUGGUUAAUUGAUUGGCCCAAGCUUGUAGCUGUUAAGUGAUUGAGUCGAGAACCAGACCUGGUGUACUGGACCCUCAGGCCAUUGUUCUUUCCACUAAACACACGUUUGUGAGCCUCUCCGUUCCCCGAGGCCACUUUGCAAACCAAGGGAAAGUGAAUUGACACAGCAAGAGCAGUUUAGCGGCAGUUGGUCAUCCUAACCAACCUUUUACUUUUAGGAAGCCUCCAGGGUCUGAUAGAUCUUUGCUCACAUUCUCUGCCUCUCCCUGCAGACUCUCAAAUGGCACUUGACACGAAUUAGAUAAGUUCAGUUACUGAAGGGGAGGAAAAUACUAUAAAACCUAAGGUUUGCUUACAUGCUCUCUGGUACCCAUAGGAACCGCCAACCAACAGAUGUUGUGGGUCCAGAUGAAAGAAUGGAGAACAUGUGAUGAUGAAUUUACGAGCGUUUUCUGGAAUGCUCCCAGGCUCUUCCCCUCAAGCAUUUGUUUUUUCUCUCACGAAGAAGCAACUCCAAUGAUCUAAACUCUGUAAUUUAGGACAGGAGCUUCUCUUCACACUCCAUGAAGUUCUUGCAAAUUUAAAGUUAUGACUCAAUCUUCUCUCCAAACCAAAAUGUGAUGCCAAAUUUGGACUGAGAAAAAAACCUAUAAAUAUACAUAAAUUUAAUUUUUAUCCUAGAAUGUUAACUUUUAUCCGUGUGACUGUUAGAAGAAAAGAAUGGUUAUAAUCAUCUGACAAUGAACAUGACUCUCAGUCAGGGAGCUGGUCAACUGACAAUUAUGGAAAACGUGUUCAAUAAGUUUUAAAGAUACCCUAAGGUGAUAACAUUUGAAAUGAGCAAUUACUUUGGCAAAUGUGAAUAAUCCAUGCUUAUUUUUUUUAAUUAUUUUUCUUUUAUUUAUUUACUGAUUUUAAAAAUUGAGAUAUAAUCGACAUAUAGCAUAUAUUAGUUUCAGAUGUACAACAUAAUGAUUCUAUGUAUGUGUGUAUUGCAAAAUGCUCACCACACUAAGUCUAGCUAACAUCCAUCACCGCACAUAGUUACAAUUUUUUUCUCCUGAUGAGAACUUUUAAGAUUUACUCGUAGCAACUUUCAAAGAUACAAUAGAGUAGCAUUUGAUUCAGAUUGAGAUUGAAAGGCUGUGAAAUGUGAAACAAAACGGAGUCACUUAUGUUUAAGGGCUUUAAAAUGGAGCCAGGAAGAGAAUGUUGAGAAAGGAAGCCGACUGCCAAAACUAGAAUGGAAAAGAUGGUUCUAGAAGAGGGACCUACAGAGCUGGAAGCUCAGCUUCUUUUUCUUUCUUUCUCUGAUUACCAAGGGUAAAAAAAGACAGACAGGAGACAAAGUUUAGAACCCUGUAGGGCGCCUAGAGCUUUCCUUUGAAGGAGCAGUGAGCAGACAACAGCUGAAAGUGUGUCCUUAUCAGGAGCUGCUGUAAGGAAAUGCUUUCUUCUCAUCACACAUGUCACCUAAGCCAGCC